This 406-nucleotide ribosomal RNA is filed under the name uncultured bacterium. RNAcentral's name for it is "partial 16S ribosomal RNA". It matches the Rfam family "Bacterial small subunit ribosomal RNA", at positions 30 to 526 of the family's 1533-position model. The record is from RNAcentral.
AUUGAACGCUGGCGGCAGGCCUAACACAUGCAAGUCGAACGAGUGGCGGACGGGUGAGUAAUGUCUGGGAAACUGCCUGAUGGAGGGGGAUAACUACUGGAAACGGUAGCUAAUACCGCAUACCAUCAGAUGUGCCCAGAUGGGAUUAGCUUGUUGGUGGGGUAACGGCCUACCAAGGCGACGAUCCCUAACUGGUCUGAGAGGAUGACCAGCAACACUGGAACUGAGACACGGUCCAGACUCCUACGGGAGGCAGCAGUGGGGAAUAUUGGACAAUGGGCGAAAGCCUGAUGCAGCCAUGCCGCGUGUAUGAAGAAGGCCUUCGGAUUGUAAAGCACUUUCAGCGGGGAGGCGUUACCCGCAGAAGAAGCACCGGCUAACUCCGUGCCAGCAGCCGCGGUAAUAC